CCCAAAGGGUUAUUGCGUUACUACGGCGAGUGAAGCGGCAAAAGCUCAAAUUUGAAAUCUGGCACCUUCGGUGUCCGAGUUGUAAUUUGAAGAAGGUAACUUUGGAGUUGGCUCUUGUCUAUGUUCCUUGGAACAGGACGUCACAGAGGGUGAGAAUCCCGUGCGAUGAGAUGCCCAAUUCUAUGUAAAGUGCUUUCGAAGAGUCGAGUUGUUUGGGAAUGCAGCUCUAAGUGGGUGGUAAAUUCCAUCUAAAGCUAAAUAUUGGCGAGAGACCGAUAGCGAACAAGUACAGUGAUGGAAAGAUGAAAAGAACUUUGAAAAGAGAGUGAAAAAGUACGUGAAAUUGUUGAAAGGGAAGGGCUUGAGAUCAGACUUGGUAUUUUGCGAUCCUUUCCUUCUUGGUUGGGUUCCUCGCAGCUUACUGGGCCAGCAUCGGUUUGGAUGGUAGGAUAAUGACUAAGGAAUGUGGCUCUACUUCGGUGGAGUGUUAUAGCCUUGGUUGAUACUGCCUGUCUAGACCGAGGACUGCGUCUUUUGACUAGGAUGUUGGCAUAAUGAUCUUAAGCCACCCGUCUUGAAACACGGACCAA
This 590-nucleotide ribosomal RNA is filed under the name Debaryomyces hansenii. Its description in RNAcentral is "LSU rRNA". It matches the Rfam family "Eukaryotic large subunit ribosomal RNA", at positions 65 to 669 of the family's 3401-position model. The record is from RNAcentral. Lineage: Eukaryota; Fungi; Ascomycota; Pichiomycetes; Serinales; Debaryomycetaceae.